Ornithorhynchus anatinus (platypus) is the source of this 290-nucleotide long non-coding RNA. RefSeq lists it as uncharacterized. The record is from RefSeq and is a predicted model, not a curated record. NCBI's taxonomy places the organism in Eukaryota, Metazoa, Chordata, Mammalia, Monotremata, Ornithorhynchidae. The transcript has 2 exons.
CCUUCUUGAAUGCCCUGUGCAGAAACCCUGCUUGGUGAUGAGAGAUUGUCUUGAUGCUGGUCCACUGACUGCAUUCCAUACCCUCCUUGUUAGUGACCCUGCCUUGCCAUUUCAGGAAUAACACAGAAAGCUACAGAAGGUGCAGAAAAGGGCAACCAAGAAGAUCCGUGGGGUUGGACUCACUCAUUAAAUGAGACAGGAGUCACUAUACCCAGAAUGAGAUGCUAAAAGAGCCAUUCACCAAUCAAGGCAUUCAAGAGGAAUAAAGAAGACAUGAAAUCUGUCCAGAA